This 221-nucleotide long non-coding RNA is filed under the name Mytilus galloprovincialis (Mediterranean mussel). The record is from RNAcentral. Lineage: Eukaryota; Metazoa; Mollusca; Bivalvia; Mytilida; Mytilidae.
GCUGGGGUUCUGGUUUAACAUUGAUUUUCGAUUUGUUGUUAGACGGAUUGAAGUAUGGUGCCACAGGAAAUCUAUUUUUACUGUUCUGCACAACUAUGUCCUGUACAUUGAUGGAAAAAAAAACAUUUGUUUUCAUUCUGUCCUGGGCAGAUUUUUUUCUGUCCUAACCAGCACAACCUUCCUUUUCCUUAUGAAGUUAUGAGUUCCUGUAUGAAUAUCUU